AGAGUUUGAUCCUGGCUCAGGAUGAACGCUGGCGGCGUGCCUAAUACAUGCAAGUAGAACGCUGAAGAGAGGAGCUUGCUCUUCUUGGAUGAGUUGCGAACGGGUGAGUAACGCGUAGGUAACCUGCCUUGUAGCGGGGGAUAACUAUUGGAAACGAUAGCUAAUACCGCAUAACAAUGGGUGACACAUGUCAUUUAUUUGAAAGGGGCAAUUGCUCCACUACAAGAUGGACCUGCGUUGUAUUAGCUAGUAGGUGAGGUAACGGCUCACCUAGGCGACGAUACAUAGCCGACCUGAGAGGGUGACCGGCCACACUGGGACUGAGACACGGCCCAGACUCCUACGGGAGGCAGCAGUAGGGAAUCUUCAGCAAUGGACGGAAGUCUGACCGAGCAACGCCGCGUGAGUGAAGAAGGUUUUCGGAUCGUAAAGCUCUGUUGUAAGAGAAGAACGAGUGUGAGAGUGGAAAGUUCACACUGUGACGGUAUCUUACCAGAAAGGGACGGCUAACUACGUGCCAGCAGCCGCGGUAAUACGUAGGUCCCGAGCGUUGUCCGGAUUUAUUGGGCGUAAAGCGAGCGCAGGCGGUUAGAUAAGUCUGAAGUUAAAGGCUGUGGCUUAACCAUAGUACGCUUUGGAAACUGUUUAACUUGAGUGCAAGAGGGGAGAGUGGAAUUCCAUGUGUAGCGGUGAAAUGCGUAGAUAUAUGGAGGAACACCGGUGGCGAAAGCGGCUCUCUGGCUUGUAACUGACGCUGAGGCUCGAAAGCGUGGGGAGCAAACCAGGAUUAGAUACCCUGGUAGUCCACGCCGUAAACGA
RNAcentral lists this ribosomal RNA (819 nucleotides) under uncultured bacterium. RNAcentral's name for it is "bacterial SSU rRNA". It matches the Rfam family "Bacterial small subunit ribosomal RNA", at positions 8 to 809 of the family's 1533-position model. The record is from RNAcentral.